AAGCUAUCCUCAACAAUAAAAGGACUUCAGGGGGAAUCACUAUCCCUGAACUCAAGCAGUAUUACAGAGCAAUAGUGAUAAAAACUGCAUGGUAUUGGUACAGAGACAGACAGAUAGACCAAUGGAAUAGAAUUGAAGACCCAGAAAUGAACCCACUCACCUAUGAUCACUUGAUUUUUGACAAAGGAGCCAAAACCAUCCAAUGGAAAAAAGAUAGCAUUUUCAGCAAAUGGUGCUGGUUCAACUGGAGGUCAACAUGUAGAAGAAUGCAGAUCGAUCCAUCCUUAUCACCCUGUACAAAGCUUAAGUCCAAGUGGAUCAAGGACCUCCACAUCAAACCAGACACACUCAAACUAAUAGAAGAAAAACUAGGGAAGCAUCUGGAACACAUGGGCACUGGAAAAAAUUUCCUAAACAAAACACCAAUGGCUUACGCUCUAAGAUCAAGAAUCGACAAAUGGGAUCUCAUAAAACUGCAAAGCUUCUGUAAGGCAAAGGACACUGUGGUUAGGACAAAACGGCAACCAACAGAUUGGGAAAAGAUCUUUACCAAUCCUACAACAGAUAGAGGCCUUAUAUCCAAAAUAUACAAAGAACUCAAGAAGUUAGACCGCAGGGAAACAAAUAACCCUAUUAAAAAUGGGGUUCAGAGUUAAACAAAGAAUUCACAGCUGA
Molecule: long non-coding RNA, 675 nt
Filed under: Rattus norvegicus (Norway rat)
Lineage: Eukaryota; Metazoa; Chordata; Mammalia; Rodentia; Muridae
Description: long non-coding RNA NONRATT009414
Source: RNAcentral